GACGAACGCUGGCGGCGUGCUUAACACAUGCAAGUCGAGCGGUAAGGCCCUUUCGGGGGUACACGAGCGGCGAACGGGUGAGUAACACGUGGGUGACCUGCCCUCAGCUCUGGGAUAAGCCUGGGAAACCGGGUCUAAUACUGGAUAUGACUCCAUGACGCAUGUUGUGGGGUGGAAAGCCUUGUGCGGCUGAGGAUGGGCCCGCGGCCUAUCAGCUUGUUGGUGGGGUGANGGCCUACCAAGGCGACGACGGGUAGCCGGCCUGAGAGGGCGACCGGCCACACUGGGACUGAGACACGGCCCAGACUCCUACGGGAGGCAGCAGGUGGGGAAUCUUGCGCAAGUGGGCGAAAGCCUGACGCAGCGACGCCGCGUGAGGGAUGACGGCCUCGG
RNAcentral lists this ribosomal RNA (393 nucleotides) under uncultured bacterium. Its description in RNAcentral is "bacterial SSU rRNA". It matches the Rfam family "Bacterial small subunit ribosomal RNA", at positions 28 to 420 of the family's 1533-position model. The record is from RNAcentral.